UACGUAGGGCGCAAGCGUUGUCCGGAAUUAUUGGGCGUAAAGAGCGCGCAGGCGGCUUGGCAAGUCGGGUGUGAAAUCCCGGGGCUCAACCCCGUGACUGCAUCCGAUACUGUCAGGCUAGAGGUAGGUAGGGGAGAUCGGAAUUCCUGGUGUAGCGGUGAAAUGCGCAGAUAUCAGGAGGAACACCGGUGGCGAAGGCGGAUCUCUGGGCCUUACCUGACGCUCAGGCGCGAAAGCUAGGGGAGCGAACAGG
This 253-nucleotide ribosomal RNA is filed under the name uncultured bacterium. Its description in RNAcentral is "partial 16S ribosomal RNA". It matches the Rfam family "Bacterial small subunit ribosomal RNA", at positions 524 to 776 of the family's 1533-position model. The record is from RNAcentral.